RNAcentral lists this ribosomal RNA (488 nucleotides) under uncultured bacterium. Its description in RNAcentral is "partial 16S ribosomal RNA". It matches the Rfam family "Bacterial small subunit ribosomal RNA", at positions 30 to 523 of the family's 1533-position model. The record is from RNAcentral.
AUCGAACGCUGGCGACAGGCCUAACACAUGCAAGUCGAGCGGGGUUUUCGGACCUAGCGGCGGACGGGUGAGUAAUGCGUAGGAAGCUACCCGAUAGAGGGGGAUACCAGUUGGAAACGACUGUUAAUACCGCAUAAUGUCUACGGACCAAAGUGUGGGACCUUCGGGCCACAUGCUAUCGGAUGUGCCUACGUGGGAUUAGCUAGUUGGUGAGGUAAUGGCUCACCAAGGGGACGAUCCCUAGCUGGUUUGAGAGGAUGAUCAGCCACACUGGAACUGGGACACGGUCCAGACUCCUACGGGGGGCAGCAGUGGGGAAUAUUGGACAAUGGGCGCAAGCCUGAUCCAGCCAUGCCGCGUGUGUGAAGAAGGCCUUCGGGUUGUAAAGCACUUUCAGUAAGGAGGAAGCGUUGAGUGUUAAUAGUACUCAGCGUUGACGUUACUUACAGAAGAAGCACCGGCUAACUCUGUGCCAGCCGCCGCCGUAA